GAUUAUGGUAGGAUGAGAGGUGUUUGUUGGCAUCAGUAGUUUUGUUCCUGAUUCGAGCCAUGGUAUCGUGUUUAGUGGGACUUUAAAGCAUUGAGAUUCUAUUUGUACCCAUUGUUUUGGGUAUUGUGGGAGAGACCAAUCGUGAAUUUAUGUGAGUAUGGUUGCCUUAUGAUAUAUUUCUAUGUCCGGCACUCCCAAGCCUCCUUGUGUUUUGUGUCUAGUCAGAUAUCUGAAUUGGAUCCUAGGGUGUUUUCCUGUCCAUAGAUAUCUCAUAAUGAGGUGUUUUGUUUGCAAAA
Non-coding RNA from Pelobates cultripes (western spadefoot toad), 296 nucleotides. The record is from the annotation of a GenBank genome assembly. NCBI's taxonomy places the organism in Eukaryota, Metazoa, Chordata, Amphibia, Anura, Pelobatidae.